This 498-nucleotide ribosomal RNA is filed under the name uncultured bacterium. RNAcentral's name for it is "partial 16S ribosomal RNA". It matches the Rfam family "Bacterial small subunit ribosomal RNA", at positions 28 to 507 of the family's 1533-position model. The record is from RNAcentral.
GACGAACGCUGGCGGCGUGCCUACUACAUGCAAGUCGAGCGGACGAAUCGACAGCUUGCUUUUGCUUCGUUAGCGGCGGACGGGUGAGUAACACGUGGGCAAUCUCCCCUGUAUACGGGGAUAACACCGAGAAAUCGGUGCUACUACCGGAUAACACGAAAUGUCGCAUGACGUUUCGUUGAAAGACGGCGCAUGCUGCCGCCACAGGAUGUGUCCGCGUCGCGUUAGCUAGGUGGUGUGGUAACGGCUUACCAAGGCGGCGAUCGGUCGCCGAAGUGAGAGGGGGGUAGGCCACACUGGAAGUGGAACGGGGCCCAGACUCCUACGGGAGGCAGCAGUAGGGAAUCGUACGCAAUGGAGGAAAGUAUGACGGAGCAAGGCCGCGUGAGAGAAGAAGGCCUUCGGGUCGUAAAGCUCUGUUGUUAGGGAAGAACAAGUAACGCAGUAACUGGCGUUACAGUGACGGUACCUAACGAGAAAGCCACGGCUAACUACGUG